GUGAGGAAUAUUGGUCAAUGGACGGAAGUCUGAACCAGCCAUGCCGAGUGAAGGAUGAAGGCGUUCUGCGUUGUAAACUUCUUUUAUCAGAGAAGAAACCACUGAUUUCUAUUAGUGUUGACGGUAUCUGAUGAAUAAGCACCGGCUAACUCCGUGCCAGCAGCCGCGGUAAUACGGAGGGUGCAAGCGUUAUCCGGAUUUACUGGGUUUAAAGGGUGUGUAGGCGGGCUAUUAAGUCAGGGGUGAAAUCCCGGGGCUCAACCGCGGAACUGCCUUUGAUACUAUUAGUCUUGAAUGAUGUUGAGGUUGGCGGAAUACAACAUGUAGCGGUGAAAUGCAUAGAUAUGUUAUAGAACACCGAUUGCGAAGGCAGCUGGCUAAACAUAUAUUGACGCUGAGGCACGAAAGCGUGGGUAGCGAACAGGAUUAGAAACCCGAGUAGUCC
This 445-nucleotide ribosomal RNA is filed under the name uncultured bacterium. RNAcentral describes it as "partial 16S ribosomal RNA". It matches the Rfam family "Bacterial small subunit ribosomal RNA", at positions 354 to 796 of the family's 1533-position model. The record is from RNAcentral.